RNAcentral lists this long non-coding RNA (8109 nucleotides) under Gossypium barbadense (sea-island cotton). Its description in RNAcentral is "long non-coding RNA (GBAR_LNC021841)". The record is from RNAcentral. Lineage: Eukaryota; Viridiplantae; Streptophyta; Magnoliopsida; Malvales; Malvaceae.
GGGCCCAUGCAGAUUAAAUAAACAAAAAAAUAAAACCAAAUAAAAUAAAAUUCAGUCCAUUGUCCAUUUACACCCAAAAUAAACCCAAGAUCUUAGCCCAAUUACAUAAAUAAUUAAAACCCAAAUAACCUAAACCCUAGCCCAACAAGCAGCCCAAUACACCCAACAUUUUCAGCAGAGAGAAAAACAAAAAACCCUAGGUAGCCGCAAGCCUAACAGCAACCAAGUGCGCUGUCGUCGCCGCCAUUUACGCGCCACACCUCCACGUUGACUGGCCACGUACCUGCAAUUCAGCAAACAAGGAAGCAAGCAGCAAAAAGAAAGGGACUAAUAGCGAAAUGGAAGGAAAGAAAUAUUAUUAUUAUUUUUUAUAUAUCUAUUUUCCUUUUCGUUUUGGCUAUAAAAAGCCAAUUAAAAUCUAUAAUAGGGGGAAGACGCACAUAUUGUUUUAAGAAAUUACAAAAAGAAAAUGAAAAGGAAAGACUGAGUUUUUUUGUUGGAGGUGAUUUUUUAAAAGUUUUUCUUUUUUUUUCUGUUGUUCUGUUCUUUUUUUAUAUAAGUAUGAAACAAAAUAAAAAGGAGGGUGAUUUAGUUUCUUUUUCAUGUUUUCUUCUUUCUAUUUCGAUCUCUAUUUCAUGUCUUUGAAAUAAUAGUAAAAGAGGGGAGGAGUUGUUUACCUUUUGAUCGGCGGCGUCGUUGUGCUGUGUGGGAGAUGUUUGUAAACGGCGCAGAGAAAGGAAAGGAGCUAUUAAGUUUUUUCUCCUUUGCUUUCUAAUGGCCGAAUGAUUAGGGUUUUUUUAGAUUUAUGAUAAUUUUUGAAACAACACUGUUUGGACUUUAUGCCAAGGCUCAAUGGCUUAUUUUCACUUUUGGUCUUCCUGUUUUACAAUGUUUUUAAAUUACUUUUUUUAUUUCUUGUAAAUUUCGCAACGCAUUUUAUUAUUGUUUCAAUUUAGUCCAAUACUGUGCAGUGUUUUGGGAGGCUUGGGUAAAUUGCUCCUUCGUUCCUCCUCCUGUUGCGCGUGUUUUAAAUUGCUCUCUUUCUUGUUUUAUUUUUGAAUUCAUCCUUUAAAUUCUGUUUGUUUUCAACUUAAUCCUUAAUUUGUUAUUUUAAGUUUUUUUUUAUUAUAUUAUUAAUACUGUUUAUUAGUAUUAUUAUUACUAUAUUAUUAUUAGUUUUUUUAUUUAUUAUAUCAUAUAUUAUUAUACCUACAUAUAUAUAUAUGUGCAUAUGUAUGUUAAUAUAUAUAUGUUUAUUUUAAACGUUUUUAAAUACAUAUGCAUAUUAUGUAUAUAUUUUAUUAUUAUUUUAUUUUCAUAGUUUUUAUAUAUUUUAUAUACAUUUAUAUUUUAUAAUAUUUAUAUUUUCAUAUUUUAUAAUUUAUAUAUGUUUAUACAUUCUUUGUAAUAUAUAUAUGUACUUUUUAGAAUUAUCAUAAGUUUUUUGUUAUUAUUUUGUUUUGAUAUAUUUCAUGUUUUUAUAUAUGUAUACUUAUAUAUAUGCCUGUUUUAAUAUAUGCAUAUACAUGUUUUCAAAAUUUAUUUAUGUAUUAUACUUAUAUUUUGAAAAUACAUAUGUACAUAUAAUUUAAAUUAAAGUAUUUGUUACAUAUCGUAUUAACAUUUUUUUAACAUAUCUUUUAGAAAAUACAUAUUUUGGUUUUGGUAAAACAUUAAAAACAUUUUCUUUUGAUUCAAAGACUUUUAAAAUAAAAGCGAAAUUCAAAGUUCGGAAUUUUCGAGGAAAUUGAGCCCUAACGUAUUGGGUUCCGAUUUUUUUUGUUAAUCCUAAAUAACCGAGAAUAUUCUUUAUUUUACAUAAGUAUAAAAUCAUUUUCGGGAACUUAACUUAUUGCGUCCUAAUGUAUUGGGUGUAACAUAUUGCGUUCUCGAAAUGAAGAUUUUCUUAUAAAAUAAAAGCGAUAUUCAAAGUUCGGGGAUUUUGAGACAUUGUACCCUUCUUCGCAUGACUUGAACAUUUGAUUAUCCUUUUCAGAUUUCAUUAUUGGAGUUUUUUUUUUUAAAUCUUUUUAACCCUCGACACUAAGACGUUAAAUAAUUAAUUUGGUACCGAUUUUUGGACAUUACGAGGGUGCUAACCCUUCCUCGUGCGUAACUGACUUCCGAACUCGUUUUCUCAAAUUUCAUAGACCAGAAUAAUUUUUAAGGUGAGUCGAUCACACCUCAAUAAAGGAUCGGUGGCGGCUCUAAUUUUUGUUUUUUAAAGUCGAUAACUAAAGUUUUGUUUUCAAAAAAUAGUUUCAACAGCUUGACGACUCCGUUGGGGAAAAACACGAGAGUCGAGCCAAAAAUUGAUUAAUUUUUGUCUUAAUGUCGAAACUUUUUUGAGAUCCUUUUGCAUUCAUUAUUUUCUUGCUUAAUUGAUCUUUGCAUUAUACAUUGCAUGAGUUGAAUGAUUUUACCCCUCUAAGUGGGAGUGAGAAACUAGUCUUUCGUGAGGUUUUCACCUCCGUGCAGGAUAGUGGAUUGCUUUCGAGAUACAUUCGUACCUAUGUCUUCGUGAGAUUUUCAUUUCCGUGUAGCUAUAGGGAAGUGUAUCCCCCUGAACUGAACUCGAUCUGUAUGAGCCUAUAAUGGGUGAGGAUCAAGGAAUCUGCUGGUUCAGGUACCCUUACUUCAGAACCGAACCACAUAUAGAAGACCUUAGGAGCACACCCUAGGUAGAGCCACUUCAAAACCCUAGUGAUCACCCGAAUAGACGUUCUAUUUAUUCUUGCUUGCUUUUGCUUUGUACUAACCUGUUUCUUUUUUGUUAUAAUUGCAUUACAUUUUCAUCAUAAAAAAGUGGUGUUGAUUCACGUUCAGUUGCGAAAUAGAGAGCUUGUCAUAAGAAAAUGAGUUUCUUGAUAAAAUGGAAGACAAUAUGGUUGUCCGAAUAUGGUCCAAGAAAACGUGAUAAGAGAAGGAUGAUAGUUUAAUGGAGGACUACACGACUAUGGAUUCAAGAUGAAAAAGAUUAUUCGAGAGCCGCUGAACUUUCUUAAAGAGAAGCCAACGAGCAUCACGAGGAUGAGUGAGCAACGAGUUGCGGCCCGGAUCGAGCAAAAAGGAGAUAGAAGAGACAUCUUUUUGAAGAGUUCGUGAGAUUUAUCUUAACGCUCGAAGAAGAGGAUCGAAUGUCUCCGCCUAUGAGGGCAAGGCCGUAUAAAUAUCCAUUUUAUGUAAAGAGAUUUGUUUUCUAGUAAAGUUUUCUAAAUGGAAUUGAAUCAGAAUCAACGUCUCUUUAUGCAUUCAUUACAUGCAUUCGCAUUACAUGACAUUAUACGUAUUAAAGUCCACUAAAAGAGCCUAAUCGAUUAAAAUCAUUCCUCAGUUAACCUGGAAACCAACCAAUAAACUAAACACCGUUACGGUACUCGGGCGAAAUCAAGAAGUAUGGACCAAAGAUUAGAAAAGCUCGAACAAUUCCAAACAUAAAUGCAGGAUCAGCUUCAGCAGCAAAUGAAUGAGCAGCUCGAGAAGAUUCAGCAGAAUUUGAAGGAAAAAAUGAUGGAAUCUCAAGGGAAUAUGAUGGCUAAGUUGACUCAGUUGCUGACCGGAGAAAUUGAUAAAGGAAAAAACUCUGUGCUUAAUGUUGAAGAAGGAGACAGUGAGGGACCUGUCUAUCCUCCAGGCUUUACCCCUCAGCAAGUUGAGGAAUGUCCGCGUAAAUCCUCUGUCACCAUUAGGCCGCAGCAAUUUCAAGCUAGUGCUUCAAUGCCAAUGAAUUUUCAAGUUGGAUCAGGCUCUAAUCCGAGAGACAACCUUUCAAUACGGCUAUUCCUGACUUCGAUGAAACAGCGGGAAAAGAAAAAGUGAAGGAUGAGUUGCCAAAACAGCUAGAGGAAAAGUACAAAUGGCUGGAAGAGAAAUUUAAAACGAUGGAAUGUGCUGAGAGCUACUAUAGGAUUGAUGCUGAAGAAUUAAGCUUGGUUCCGGAUUUAGUACUCCCUUACAAGUUCAAAGUGCCAUAGUUUGAGAAGUAUAAUGGAACUAGUAGUCCCGAAGCCCAUAUUACUAUGUUUUGUAGGCGGAUAACUGGGUAUGUUAGUAAUGACCAGUUGUUGAUACAUUGUUUCCAGGAUAGCCUCACAGGGGCAGUGUCCAAGUGGUACAAUCAAUUAAGUCGUGCCAAGAUUAAUUCAUGGAAAGAUUUAGCACAGGCAUUCAUAAAGCAGUACAAUCAUGUAACUGACAUGGUACCUGAUAAAAUCACUCUACAAAACAUGGAAAAGAAGUCCGGUGAAAGUUUUAGGCAAUACGCACAGAGGUGGAGGGAGGUCGCCAUCCAAGUUCAGCCACCGCUCCUGGAAAGGGAAAUGACAAUGCUAUUCAUAAAUACAUUGAAAGCUCCGUUCAUCACAUAUAUGUUAGGGAGUGCCACAAAAAUAUUUUCUAACAUAAUCAUGAAUGGUGAAAUGAUUGAAAGCGCCAUAAGGAGCGGAAAGAUUGAUGCUGGAGGAAAUAAUAGAAGGCAAGCCUCAAAAGAAAAAGAAAAUGAUGUGAACAGCGUGAAUAUGUACAGUAAAUCGAUUGCUAAUCAGUAGGGUUCAUCAAGACAAGAAUCAUGUGUGAAGCAAGGUACUGAAAAACUCCAGUUCACGCUAAUUCCAAUGUCGUACAAAGAGCUGUAUCAAAGCUUAUUCGAUGUGCAUGUUGUUUCUCCUUUACAUGUGAAGCCUCCACAGCCUCCGUAUCCCAAAUGGUACAACGCAACUGCACAAUGCGAUUAUUAUGCGGGAAUUACAGGACACUCAAUAGAGAAUUGCAUUACCUUCAAAAAGUUAGUUGAAAAAUUCAUCAACAUGGGUAUUGUCAAGUUGGAUGGCUCAUUUAAUGCAGAAAAUUCGCUACCCAAUCAUGAUUGACAAUGGAGUGAAUGCAAUAUAUGAGGAGAUAUUGGGAAGUGUUCACAUCAAUGACAUAUAGGGAGACACAAAUGAAAGGGGGACCUUGUUAGAUAUCCGCCCUUAUAAAUCUGGGAGUGUUCUAAGUAAUUGAACUGCGGAAGAAAUCCCUAUAAUUUUUAGAGCUUAUUUAGAGUAAUGUUCAGAACAUUUUUGUUGUUUUUAGCCUAAAAAUGAUAGAAAUUCCUUUGUGAAAUAGGCUCAUGUCUGAACGUCGUUAUUCUAAUAAAAUACAUCUUUGCAUUCAUUUUUGAGCCAAUAUUUUUUCAUUCUUUUUGAAAUAAUUAUUUUUUCAUUCUUUUGGAUUUUCUUCCAUGUCAUUAUUUCAUUUAUAAUUAUAUUGUACAAAUAGUUAUUCAUAAAUACAUUCUUUUGUAUAUUCUUUUAUAUUGGGUCUCCAGAUAUCAAUAACAUGAGUGACGCUGCUACAGGCUCAGAAUUUUCUUUUGAGCGAAGCAUGUGUUUAGAGGGAUUUCAUGACUUUGAAGAUAACAUAGAUUGUAGCCUAUUUUCGGACUUGUUAAAGAUGGUAGAACAAGUCGAGAAACGGAUCUUACCCUACAAAGAAUCAUUGGGAUACAUGACUUCUCAUUAUAUAGGGCAUGAAGGUUAUUUGGUCGAUCUUGUCAAAAGAGUCUGACGGCCAUUGAUUCAUCUUUGUGAUCGUCAGUUACUUUACUAAAUAAAUAGAAGCUGCUUCAUAUGCCAAUGUCACAAAGUCGACAGUUAACAAAUUCGUGAAAAAUCAUAUGUCAGUAUGGGACGCCAAAAGGAUUAUAUCUGACAAUGUACUAAAUUUGAACAACAGCAUAAUAUCAAAAGUUUGCAGUUUGUUCACGAUUAAUGCCAUAUUGCCUAAAAAAAUAUGGCGCGAAAAAAAAAACUCUGCCAGGGUAAUGCCUUUCUCUUGGGCCCAUCGCGGUUUUGCCUAUUGAAGACAAAAUUCUUUCUGAGUUUUUGAAUCCAAUUCCGAUUGAAGAGGAAUGUUCAAAGUUGUCCAUCAUGGUCAAAUGAGCCAAAAGCAAAUGAUGCAAGUUCACAAAAAAGAUCCAUCCUAGAGAAUUCCUUGAGAGGAACCUGGUAUUGAAAAAGAUCCUUCCCAUACAAAAAGAACUUCAUCCCAAGCUGGGAAGGACCUUAUGUGGAAGGCCUUAUUUAGAAAAGCGUCGAUUUUGAUCAAAAAGGAUAACAAGGACAUGCAUAAUCCUAUGAGUUCAGAUUCAAUCAAAAAUAUUUCAAAAUAUAAAAAAAAACAAAAAAAAAUAGAGAGAAAAGAAGAAAGAAAAUGGAGAGGCCAAGAUGAAAACCCGCAAAGGGCGCCUUGAAACCAAAGGGGAUUUGAGUUGAAAACCCGAAAAGGGCAGCUCAAAUAUUGAUUAGAAUGGGGCAUGAGAUGAUCAGAGCAGUUCAAAUUUUGAUCAGAUUGGGGCAUAUGAUGAUCUUGAAUCAAUAAGAAAGGGUAAACAACAUCUUAGGACAUCGACAGAGUACUGUAGAUCUCCUAAACACAUGUCAAACUCAGAAAGUUUGUAUAAAGAAGUUCAAGCUGCGAUAUCUGGAGCAUCCAAUUUUUAUAUUGAAUUUGCUAUUCUUGGAAUAAUUCAUGCUUUUCCAAUAUACACAUUCCCAAUCAAUUUCUUUGUUAUCCUUAUUUACUAUUUUUUUGAUAAUCUAUUCCUUUCGAGCUAUGCUCAGAACCAAUUGUAUUCUCAUCCAUUGUUAUACCCUUUUUGUAAGUAUGUUGCAUUGGAAUAAUGAUUAAUAGACUAAUAAAACUUUCACAAGGGAAGUUUGGCAUAUUACUCUAGAAGUUUCUAAAUAAUACAGGAACCUGAAACAGAAUUAUUGUUUAGAACGCACCAUGUUUAAAGGUUGGAAAUCUGAAAAAGAAGAGUCUAAAUUAAGACUUUCUCUUUGGAUUUUGUUGUUAAAAACAUUGACUGAACAAAAUGACAAAGCUUAAAUAAACAACUAAGCAAUGAUCACCCUGACAUUGCAGUGGAGUAGAUUGAAGCACCAGUUCUUAUACCUCUGAAGAUGCAGUAGGAAGGAAUGAAGCUACUUGAAGAAGAAGAGUACCAAGGUCCAGCACGACCGAUCAAAAUUGGUUAUUUUUAAAGUCUUUACUUCAUUCCCGUUUCACGACAACAAACAAAGAGGGACAGCUGUAAUACCCAAUUUUAGCCUGGGCGCAUGCAAAUUAAAUAAAAAAAUAAAACCAAAUAAAAUAAAAUUCAGUCCAUUGUCCAUUUACACCCAAAAUAAACCCAAGAUCUUAGCCCAAUUACAUAAAUAAUUAAAACCCAAAUAACCUAAACCCUAGCCCAACAAGCAGCCCAAUACACCCAACAUUUUCAGCAGAGAAAAAAACAAAAAACCCUAGGUAGCCGCAAGCCUAACAGCAACCAAGUGUGCUGUCGUCGCCGCCAUUUACGCGCUACACCUACACGUUGACUGGCCACGUACCUGCAAUUCAGCAAAUAAGGAAGCAAACAGCAAAAAGAAAGGGACUAAUAGAAAAAUGGAAGGAAAGAAAUAUUAUUAUUAUUUAUAUAUCUAUUUUCCUUUUCGUUUUGGCUAUAAAAAGCCAAUUAAAAUCUGUAACAGGGGGAAGACCCGCAUAUUGUAUCAAGAAAUUACAAAAAGAAAAUGAAAAGGAAAGACUGAAUUUUUUUUUCAGAUCUGAUUUUUUUUAAAGUUUUUUUUUUCUGUUGUUCUGUUCUUUUUUUUAUAUAAGUAUGAAACAAAAUAAAAAGGAGGGUGAUUUAGUUUUUUUUUUUUUUGAGUUUUCUUCUUUCUGUUUCGAUCUCUAUUUCAUGUCUUUGAAAUAAUAGUAAGAGAGGGGAGGAGUUGUUUACCUUUUGAUCGGCGGCGUCGUUGUGCUGUGUGGGAGAUGUUUGUAAACGGCGCAGAGAAAGGAAAUGAGCUAUUAAGUUUUUUCUCCUUUGCUUUCUAAUGGCCGAAUGAUUAAGGUUUUUUUAGAUUUAUGAUAAUUUUUAAAACAACACCGUUUGGACUUUAUGCCAAGGCUCAAUGGCUUAUUUGCACUUUUGGUCCUCCUGUUUUACAAUGUUUUUAAAUUACUUUUUUUAUUUCUUGUAAAUUUCGCAACGCAUUUUAUUAUUGUUUCAAUUUAGUCCAAUGUUGUGCAGUGUUUUGGGAGGCUUGGGUAAAUUGCUCCUUCGGUCCUCCUCCUGUUGCG